GCAUAUCAAUAAGCGGAGGAAAAGAAACCAACAGGGAUUGCCUCAGUAACGGCGAGUGAAGCGGCAACAGCUCAAAUUUGAAAUCUGGCCCCCCGGGUCCGAGUUGUAAUUUGCAGAGGAUGCUUUUGGCGCGGUGCCUUCCGAGUUCCCUGGAACGGGACGCCAUAGAGGGUGAGAGCCCCGUACGGUUGGACACCAAGCCUGUGUAAAGCUCCUUCGACGAGUCGAGUAGUUUGGGAAUGCUGCUCAAAAUGGGAGGUAUAUUUCUUCUAAAGCUAAAUACCGGCCAGAGACCGAUAGCGCACAAGUAGAGUGAUCGAAAGAUGAAAAGCACUUUGAAAAGAGGGUUAAACAGCACGUGAAAUUGUUAAAAGGGAAGCGCUUGUGACCAGACUUGCGCCCGGUGAAUCACCCAGCUCUCGCGGCUGGGGCACUUUGCCGGCUCAGGCCAGCAUCAGCUCGCCGUCGGGGACAAAAGCUUCGGGAACGUAGCUCUCUUCGGGGAGUGUUAUAGCCCGCUGCACAAUACCCUUCGGCGGGCUGAGGUACGCGCUCCGCACGGAUGCUGGCGUAAUGGUCAUCAGCGACCCGUCUUGAAACACGGACCAAGGAGUCAACCUUAUGUGC
RNAcentral lists this ribosomal RNA (627 nucleotides) under Colletotrichum gloeosporioides. RNAcentral describes it as "LSU rRNA". It matches the Rfam family "Eukaryotic large subunit ribosomal RNA", at positions 38 to 687 of the family's 3401-position model. The record is from RNAcentral. Lineage: Eukaryota; Fungi; Ascomycota; Sordariomycetes; Glomerellales; Glomerellaceae.